Pezoporus occidentalis (night parrot) is the source of this 3203-nucleotide long non-coding RNA. RefSeq lists it as uncharacterized. The transcript has 4 exons. The record is from RefSeq and is a predicted model, not a curated record. NCBI's taxonomy places the organism in Eukaryota, Metazoa, Chordata, Aves, Psittaciformes, Psittacidae.
UGCACUCCAAAGUCACCCCAUCCUAUAUAAUUUUCCAGUGGGGAAGAGAUGGGCCGGGCAGUGUGGAUGCGCCGUGCGCCUUGGAUGUCCCAACAAGCCAUGAGUGGCCGAGACCUGCCGAAGCGUGUUGACCAGGAGAGCUGGAGGCAGCGGCUUCCUAAAACCUGUGCUUUCCCUAACACCUUCAGAAAGUUUCCUGCACAAAAAUGAUUCAGGAAACACAUUUCCAGGCUGUCAGUGCGACGCAUUCAUCACUCCCCUGCAUAUGCACCAGAUUGUUAAUGCUUCGGGCCAAAUACCGUGUCUUUUUUUAAUGCCUACAAAACGUGGAGCGCGUUGCUGGCUUUGUACUCAUAAUAAUUAUAAAAGUAACGGGAGUAGCUGCAUUCCUAUAGGCUGGAAAUGGCCAGGCACAAACAAACCCCAUGAUUCAUUGUUGCAAUUAAUGCUUGAGCUUGUACCUGUGAUUCAUUAGUCUGGCGAUAGCAAAAGAGCAGGGUGAGAAUUAAGGGAGACAAGUGCCGGCUGUUGAGAUGGUUUGAGUGCUGUUUAGUGCUCCCUCCUCGGGCUGCCUCUGCCCCUUCAGUUAAAGGCACUGAUAGACCCAUAGGCAGGUGGUGCAGGGUAUUUAUAUAACAGUGCUCAGUACAAAACUUCAAACUUAAAUUCCCAUGCAGGUCUCUAAAUAGAACUUUGAAAUGUCAGAGAUGCUGAGAAGAAUGCUGGCACCGGAGGAGCUGCCAUCAGCGAGAGGCAAUAGCAGCCAGAUUUAUGCUGGGCUAAAUACGCAGGUACCACCAAGCAUGGCUGCGAAGGGAUAGGGUAUGGAGAAUAGAGCAUUGACAAAUGCAGCCUGUUGAGAUGCUGAUGGGGAGAAGGAGGAUGAGAGUUGUUCCACUGAGACCUGCCCAGGGGAAUGCUGUCCAUGGAAAGGGCUUUGGACCCUUUCCUGGAGCAUCACAUCAGUGCAGGGCUGCAGUCUGCCUCUCUUAAAUGACCUUUUGCUGACUUUGAUCUCACAAGGUGACUUUGAUGGGUGAGAUGGAGCAGGGGCAGCUCCCAGGAGCCUGCAAGUUCCUAUGAAGCACAAACCACUCUGUAGCACCAACCUUCUAAGGAAAGCAGGAAGAGGCAGGAAAGGAUUGACUCUAUCGUGCCGAGGGCUUUUCCGAAGAUGCCUGCUGGGAACGCUGGCUGUAUGUUUCUCUUUAGGAAGUGGCUCUUUUGAUUUUCUCACUGCCUCGCCUGUCACGCUGAGGUGCCUGGAGAAGGAUUUGCUGAUUGCUGAUGAAAUCCAUUCUCCCUUGAGAUUCUGCUCGUCCCAUCUUGAUCAACUUUUAAUUCUUGCUUUCUAAUAACACCCAGGGACGGUGUUUUAUGGCUUUAUGAGGAUUUGGUGAUUGAUGUUCAUCUGUGCUUGCAGGAGACCAGUAACCUCAUUUCAUUUUUGACAGAGCAUCGGGGGAAGAGCUCUGUACCCUUCGCCCUUCUUGGUCAUGUAUAAAUGAAAGAGAAAGUAAAGCGGAUAUAAUGUGUCCAGACCUGUCAGCCCAUCUCCCUUGUCCUCUCUCACCACACUGGUGAACUUCUGACGCUGUUUCUCUCCCGCCUGGCACAUGAGCACGUGUUUGAAGGACACCGUUGGCUCAUUUUUGAUAUCCUUCCAUGAUCUUGCUUUUAUUCUUGGUUCUGCACACCAGCGGCUGGGAUGGUUGGAAGUAGCUGCUCUAAGCUGGUGUGGGAGUAGAUUGCUUAAGCAUUACCUCCCAGAGUCAAUGUAAAUUGAGAGCAGAUAAGACUUGGACCCCAAAUGCCUUUUUUUGACCCAUUACUGUCUUCUUCCCAGUUCCAUUCUCUCUGCUCUUUCUGAUUUUGAGCAGGUUCGAGAGGAAUGGGACUCCUGGUUCACGCUCAAACCAACCUUAUCUGCGGUACCCAAAGGCACACACACAGGUACCCACCACUGGCAAAGGAUUUGUCAGUAAAAGAAAUGCUGGAGGAAGAAUGCCCACAGUGAUGAAUUGAGAGACAAUGCACAAAAUCCUGGACCCAGAUAACCUGGUAAUAUCAUUCACCAAACUGUGACUCUGUUCUCAUAGAGAAAUGGCAUUUCCCUUUACAAAUCCAUUUCUCUCCUUAGGGGAAAGGACAUUUAGAGCAUCUCUAGUGAAAAGGAGAAGGUGGAAGAGGCUGUGAGGACGCCGUGCUUCCUACACUGGUCCACAGAUUCUAAACACAGGUUUGGUUAUUUCUUAUAGAUGCUUAUUUUUCCUCUCUGUUUUUUGCUUUCAAAUAUGCGCUUGUGUUCUCAAUGAAGAACAGCUGAGAGAUCAGGCAAAUGGCUUAAGAAUUCAGCGGGCUGUAAGCUAUUUGGAUUUAAAAUAGUGCCUGGGAGAGAGCUUUUUACACUGCCUCGCUAAACAAUCCUCCUUCUGUCACCAUCUGAGGUUGCCAUCCUUUGUUCCUCACAUGUCGCCUUCCCUCUAACUCUCCAGAGCCUCCAAGGGAAGCAGGAGAAGGGCUAACGAGGGUUUUUCUUCUUCAUUUUUAAAUCCCCCCAAGUCCUUCUUUAACACAGCCCCCCCCGGCCAUCUGCCUUUGUUUCAGUUGUGCUUCUUGGCUUUGUUUCUUCAGCAUUACCCCCUCCUUGUCCCUUUGCAGGGCACUGUUAAACACUGUGGGAGAGCUGUGCAGAGGCAGCUCAGCAUCCCUGGCCUCAGCCACAGCACUUGUAGCACCAGAGCCUGCUCGUCCGACUGUGGCCAGAGCCAUCCCUGCUGCCUUUUUUGCUUCCCUUUCCCAUGGCAGGGGGUUGGAACUGGAUGAGCUUAAGGUGCUUUUCAACCCAAACCAUUCUAUCAUUCUGCUUGCAAAAGCAAAGCUGGGGCUGCUCUGCUGGCGGAGCAGGGUGCUGGCAUCAGGCACAACAAACAGGGCACCCCACUGCUUGCCCCGCUGCUCCCCAGCCAAGGCAGGGGAGGGAAUCGCUGUCCCACCACGCUCAAGGCCUCCGCUGCCUCCCCUUCACGCACAGGCAGGUGGUGGAAGGAGGGUUCCAUCACGCUCCGGUUCCCCCCGAUUCCCCCUGCAGACGCAGACGGGCAGGAGGGAGGUGGUGUCCGGGGCUGACGGCUCAUCCUUUUGCCCCUGAUUUGCAGGGGAUCGAGAAGAGGGCUGUGCCAAAUGGAUGGGCUCAGCUCCAC